RNAcentral lists this ribosomal RNA (427 nucleotides) under uncultured bacterium. RNAcentral describes it as "partial 16S ribosomal RNA". It matches the Rfam family "Bacterial small subunit ribosomal RNA", at positions 355 to 774 of the family's 1533-position model. The record is from RNAcentral.
UGGGGAAUUUUGGACAAUGGGGGAAACCCUGAUCCAGCCAUCCCGCGUGUGCGAUGAAGGCCUUCGGGUUGUAAAGCACUUUUGGCAGGAAAGAAACGUCAUGGGUUAAUACCCCGUGAAACUGACGGUACCUGCAGAAUAAGCACCGGCUAACUACGUGCCAGCAGCCGCGGUAAUACGUAGGGUGCAAGCGUUAAUCGGAAUUACUGGGCGUAAAGCGUGCGCAGGCGGUACGGAAAGAAAGAUGUGAAAUCCCAGAGCUUAACUUUGGAACUGCAUUUUUAACUACCGGGCUAGAGUGUGUCAGAGGGAGGUGGAAUUCCGCGUGUAGCAGUGAAAUGCGUAGAUAUGCGGAGGAACACCGAUGGCGAAGGCAGCCUCCUGGGAUAACACUGACGCUCAUGCACGAAAGCGUGGGGAGCAAACA